UUUGCUACUGUGUCUUUUUUUUUUUUUUUUUUUUUUUUUUUUGAGACAGAGUCUUGCUCUGUCGCCCAGGCUGGAUUGCAGUGGUGCUAUCUCGGCUCAAUGCAAGCUCCAUCUCCCGGGUUCACACCAUUAUCCUGCCUCAGCCUCCCGAGUAGCUGGGACUACAGGCAUCCGCCACCACACCUGGCUAAUUUUUUGUGUUUUUAGUAGAGACGGGGUUUCACUGUGUUAGUCAGGAUGGUCUCAAUCUCCUGACCUUGUGAUCCACCCACCUCGGCCUCCCAAAGUGCUGGGAUUACAGGCAUGAGCCACCGCACCUGGCCGCUACUGUGUCAUUUUCUAAAGCAUCCUAUGCCAAAGUGUAGAGAAGAAGCAUUGGUUUAAUCAAGUGGUACAUUUUAAAAACUGAAUGGAAUAAUAGAAAAUGAAGAAAUGGAGCCUAUGAUAUUUUGCCUGGUGUGGACUAGAUAUCUUAGUUGACUGAGAUUAAAGAUAUGGAUUAGAAGAGACUGAUAUACAGAGGAGAAUUAGGAGUGUCCUUGUUGAUAAAAGAAUAAAUGCAUUGAGAAUCAGAAGAGAAAGAGGAGUCUUUUUGGCAAAAGGGUGAGUUUAUAUUUAGCAUUUAAAUAGAGCUGUUCAAGGAGAUGACAGAGUGGAGUCUGUUGCAAUUGGAUGGGGAGGCUAAAGUGGAGUGGACUUCCAGGUCACUCAAGUGCUACUAAACUAAGAGACUAACAUGGCUGUUGAGUUAUGCUUACUUCUAUUUUCUGUGAAUAGAUUAACAUUCUAACUGAACUUACUUCUGAAGAAUUUCAUCUUAAAAUUGCCAUUUACUUCUUUCAAAGCUUAAUGAAAAAGUGGAGUAAACUCAUUACCUCUAUUUCAUCAUCAGUCACUUCAUCUGACGGGGUAUUGAUAACUUCUUGUUUUCAAUUUCUAUCUUCCUCAGGGAUAUUUCUACAACAUCUGAAGGCAUUGAUUUUACCUGGUUAGAUAUUAUCUUCUCAAAUUUACUGCACAGCAACGUGCACUCUCAAUUCUCUUCCAUCUCUGAUGAUUAUUUCCACGUCUCCUCUUUGGCAGCUUUCCUUAAGACAUAUCUGUCUAAAUAUACAAGAUUUACUGACCAAUAGUUUUGUCUGUUUCAUUGGUUCACAAAGCUUCAACAAAUGUCAUUUUCAUGAACAUUACUGUCAAAUCUAUUUUUUAAUAAGAAUUUUUAAAAAUAGUUUGAAAAUUAUAAUCUUAUAGAGACUUAUUAUGAUGAAAUAGCUGAUAUUCAUUUAUUCAUUUCCAAAUUCAAAUUGCUAAUUAAUUGCUGGACAUUUCAAGUAAGUAUAUGAUCUCUUGGCUCCUCAAAUCCAACAUAAGAAAAACAAACUUACUUCUUUUUAAAUCAAACUUCAUCUUCCCUAUUUAGUAAACACUUUCACAAUUAUUUUUUAAUACAAUAAACAAUAAUUUAUUGGCUCACAGUUCUGGAGGCUGGGAAGUCCAAGAUCAAGAUGCCAACAUCUUGCAAGGGUCUUCUUGCUGUGUCAUCAUGUGGUGGAAGGUGAGAGGGUAAGCGGGAGUGAAUCCACUUUUUCAAGCCCUUUUUAUGAUGGCAUUAAUCCAUUCAUGAGGGCUCUGCCUUUGUGACUUAAUUACCUCCUUAAGGCCCUACCUUCCAACAUUAUAACAUUGGGUGGGUUAGGUUUCAACCUGUGAAUUUUGGAGGGGACACACACAUUCAAACCAUAGCACUGAAGUAUCAGAAAAUGAACUAUUUGAAUGUUGAAAUUACCAAGAAUUAUGACAGGAUUAGAAUUGGAGAGAAACGAGUACAAUUUACCAGUAGAAAGUAUUAGAAGACAAAUAAACAUAUACAGCAAAUGACCCAUUUGUACAUAGGAAUCAUUUCAUAUAUAUGAAUUCAUAAUUUAAGAUGAUUGUUCAAAUUUGUGUGGAAAGGACGGGAUACACUGUAAAUGAUAUUGGAACAACUCUAUUCACUGGGAAAAUAAUACAGUUUUACUCAUUCCUCACGCUAUCUACAAGAGUAACUUUUAAAGUGACUAAAUUCUCAUAAUAUUGAGAUGCAGAAAGUUUUCCUAAGUCUGAGAUCACAAGAAAUGGUAAUAGUUAAUAUUUAUUGCACCAUGUCCUAUGGUGGUUACCAUUCUAAGAACUUGGUUUUUAAUUUACCUUUUUUUAUAAGUUCAGGGGUACAUGUGUAGAUUUGUUAUAUAGGUAAAGUUUGUCAUGAGGGUUUGUUGUAUAGAUUAUUUCAUCAUCCAGGUAUUAAGCCUAGUACCCAUUAAUUAUGUUUUCUGAUCCUCUCCUCCUCCCAGCCUCUACCCUCAAGAAGGCCCCAGUGUCUGUUGUUGCUCUCUACGUGUUCAUGUGUUCUCGUCAUUCAGCUCCCACUUAUAAGUGAGAAUAUGGGAUAUUUGUUUUCUUUUUUUUUUUUUUCCUGUUCCUGCAUUAGUUUGCUAAGGAUAAUGACCUCCAGCUACUUUCAUGUUCCCACAAAGGCCAUGAUCGUGUUCUUUAUUUUGGCUGCAUAGUAUUCUGUGGUGUAUAUGUACCACAUUUUCUUUAUUCAGUCUGCUAUCGAUGGGCAUUUAGGUUGAUUCUGUGUCUUUGCUAUUGUGAAGAGCACUGCAAUGAACAUGUGCAUGCAUGUGUCUUUAUGGUAGCAUGAUUUAUGUUCCUUUGGGCAUAUACCUAGUCAUGGGAUUGCUGGGGUGAAUGAUAGUUCUGUUUUCAGCUCUUUGAGGGAUCCAUCAUACUAUCUUCCAUAAUGGUUAAUAUACUUUAUACUCCUACCAACAUUGUAUAAGCAUUCCCUUUUCUCCACAACCUCACCAGCAUCUGUUAUUUGUUGACUUUUUAAUAGUAGCCAUUCUGACUUUUGUGAGAUGAUAUUUCAUUGUGGUUUUGAUUUGCAUUUCCCUAAUGAUCAGUGGUGUUGAGCUAUUUUUCAUGUAAUUGUUGCCUACAUGUACAACCCCAUUAAAAAGUGGGCAAAAGACAUGAACAGACACUUUUCAAAACAACACAAUUAUUUCACUCAUUUGAACUGUAAGACCUCUACUUUAGUCAUAACCCAAAUCUCUAGCCUGCUUUUUUGUUGUUGUUGCAGUUGGAAUCUGGUGCCCUUUAUAAACUUCAGUAUGCUCUGUGACUCCUGUCUUUAUUGCUCCUACAUCCUUUUACUCUUGCUAUUUUGUCAACCUAGAAUAACUUGUUCAUUCUUCUCUGCCUGGUGAAAUUCUACCCAUUCCAAUAGGUACUGGUUCAGAUAUAUCCUUUACUCCAUAAUCAUUAGAGGAAUAACCAUGAAGCAUACAUAUUAUGUUCUCUAUUUUUAUUUUUUAAUAUCCAACUUUAUACACUCAUUCUGCAGAUACUAAACCUGUUUGAAAAUCUCUCAUCAAAAGACUGUGUUUUCUAAUUAAGUAUUGAAUGAAUAUUUUAUACAUUUAUUAUUUAAUGAAUCUCUUUGCCUUAUUGGUAUUUUUUCUAUAAAUCCAUGAAUGUCUUUUGAUUUAGCAUCUGCCUUUAAACUUAUACUUUCGUACUUCAUUUUUGGAGGAUUUAUAAAUUAUUAAAUAUACUUUUUGAAAAUGAAAAUGGCAUCUCAUUGAGAGUCUUACUGAAGACCUAGUAAAAUCAAUAGCUUUUUACUUUCAGGAGGCCUGCAUUAUUGUUGUCGAGUUCAAAAUCAUCUUUCAAAAUCAAGAAUUGACAUCAGUUCAUUACCCACGGGUGAGUACACACAUACACACACAUGCACACACACACCAUAUUUACACAUAGGUGCUGAGAAUCUGUUCAGUGAUAUAUUUGCAAAUAAUCUUCAAAAAUAUGAUUUUCAUAUUUGUGUGGACCUAUUUAUGCAUUUCCUCAUUCCUCAUAUCAAUUAACCUAUUAACCAAGAAUUACAAGAAUAUAGAAAGGAAGAAUGAGACAGUGACAGUGUUUGUUCCUAAACAGAGACUGUUAGAAAAUUCAAUAUGAUAAGAAAAUAAAUGAUAAGGCAAAGCCUACUACCUGAUUUCCAGGUUUAAUUCGCAUUUACUGUUUUACCAAUUCUGGAAAUAAGGAAUAUGGUUAUUUUUAUUACUAUCUGUGCUUAUGUAGUAACCAGCCUCCAUCAAAGAAAAUGUGAAAUGUAGUAGAAAAAAGAAAGUAGCAAAAGUUUAAAAAUAGCUUAAUUUCACAGUAAUUCAAGUAAUCAUACUAUGCUAUGCCAUUAGUGAAGAAAUGAGAUUUCCUCUGGAAAUCUCUUCUCCAGUCCCAGGCCUUUUGCUUUAUAUUAGAUUCUAGUAAAGCCACAAAAUAUUUAUCUAUAUUAUAUGUUAUGACAUUUUAUGUUAAGAAAUAUAAUAAAGUGUUUCAUCAUUUAUACACAUUUCUUUAUUCAUAAUUUCACUUUUCGUGUUCUACUGACUGAAGUAGCUAUAACAUUUUUUUUCUGAAUGUACAGACUGCUGAGGCCUAGAUUAAAAACCUAUAUUUAGUUAGUUUGUUUGCAUUUCAUUUCCUGUAUCUGUGAGAAAAUGAAUGCUUAAAUGACUUUUAGCAUGGUUGCUUAAGUAUUUGUUCCUUUUCCUGUUGUGGUGGCAAGAGUCUUAUUAAAUUUUGUUUUAAGGUGGAUACUUUAAGUGGCCUUUCUUUGUAUAAACUGAAAAACUGGCAAUUUUAAGGAACAUUUAAAGGUAGAUACAGUUAAAAUAAAACAUUUAUUUGCAUUGCUCUUGGAGAUAAGAAUGAAAAACAUUUAAAACAAGAAAGAGAUCUUUUUUAGGAUUUUUAUUUUUGAAAUGUAUUAUGAGAAAAUUUUGAGUAAACUAUGUUAAAUUUAAUUAACUACAGUAAUGUAGGAUUAAAUACAAUAAAAUUUUUUAUUACUUUUUACUGUAUUGUUUCUUAUAAGUUUUUAUUUUUCUCAACAAGAUAUAUUCUCUUUCACUUUAAAGAGAAGUCUAAUAAUACUAAUUAAGCCCUAGUAUAAAUUCUGGUAUUGAAAUUAUGCUUGUUUGUAAUUAUUAAAAGGGCUUUAAGAUAACAGUUUUUGGGAAAAGGGGCUUAAGACAACAGGCUCUUUGGGUUUAUUAUUAUUUAUAGCAGUUGACUAAAAAAUAAGUAGUGAUAUUAUUAGUAGUAAUACUACUAUUAGUAUUAUAAUAGUAGUAAUACUAUUAGUAGUAUAAUAGUAGUAAUACUAUUAGUAGUAUAAUAGUAGUAAUACUAUUAGUAGUAAUACCACUAUUAGUAUUAUAAUAGUAGUAAUACUAAAAUCAAGUCAUAGACUCUAAAAUGGACAUGCAUCUUUUCAUUAAUAUUGCAAGACAGUAGCAAAAGUUGUCAAAGAGCUGAGUACAGAUAGGUUCCAAAAACUGACAGUGAAACAAAACCAUUUAUUCAUUCAUCACUGAUUUCAAUGUACAGAUACAAGGCAAACGUUGAAAUGCCUAGGUAUAUCUAAUAAAGAGUCACCGAGUCAUCAAAAAUCACUACAAGGCAGUUUGAGAAAAAAUGGCAGCAUGAAGGCAAACAUUCUGUUUACUACCAUUCUUAAAACUAUCUAAAACAACCAAAAAAUAAAAAUCAAGGAAAAGUAUGUUAAUAAAGCAGAGAAAGUAAAAAUUCGAAACCAAAAAUAUGAAGAAAAAUAAUUCAUACCAUAAAUUUGAAUAUAUAUGAAGUACAAUGUUGACAGCAUAUAUGCAAAUCAAUAAACCUCAGGUGGAUGUACACUUUCCUAGAAGUAGUAAAGUAACUGUCACAUCUUUAAGGUUCCACCUACCAAUCUGAAUUACAGUGAGCAUAUCUAACAGUGAGGGCCUACCAUGGAAAAAGCGUGUGUGUAUGUGUGUGCGCGCACGCGCAUACACACAUAACAUAAUGUUAUGUUAGACAUAGCAUUAUGCUUAAGCAGAUCCAGAUAUGCAUGAAUAUAUUGGAGAGACACUGGACUCAUGCCAAAAUUGAAUUUUGAUUUUUCAUAGCCUAUGUAUAUGACAGAGAUUAUUGUGGCGAGAUGGCAUAAAAGAAGGAGAAGCAGCAAUUGCAAGAUUAUCACAGCUGAAUUCCUUCAGUAAUUGCCACUAACUUGCUGAAAUUAAGGAGAGACGUCCUUUCAGGGCAAUAAUCUUCUGGGGAAGAGAUGUUUUAUCGAAAACAUGAAAUUAAAAUGUUCUCUAGUUCUCUCUUUUCAUUAUUUUCCCUCUUGAGUUGAGUGAUUUUCAAAGGUUAAUACUAAAAACAAAUAAACCAUCAUGGAACUAGAGAACAUAAACUUAAGCAAAUGAAAAGGAAUGUAGCAAAAUGUAGAUAAAUAAUAUUGCAAAAGGAGUGGCCUAAAGAAUCUUCUGAGGGUAGACAAACAAUGCUUCAUAGUUUCAAAGAAAUUACAGAAUGUUACACAUAAAAUGAAUUAAAGGAGAGAUGUUAAGAAAAGAUAUAAAGAGGGAAUAUGAAUUUAAAGAAGUGAUCAUUAAAAGAAAUAACUACAAAAGAAAUAGAAAACAUUUAAGAGAUGAGAGACAUAAUAAAAAUAACAAAAUGUAGACUCAACAGGAAAGAAAAUAGAGUCAAGUAAGGAUACAAUGGCUAUGCUCGGUAAAAUCACACAAAAAAUGAAAAACAAUUUCAUUAAAAUGAUUUGAAAGAUGAUAGAUAUUAUAGAGAGA
Molecule: long non-coding RNA, 6683 nt
Filed under: Homo sapiens (human)
Lineage: Eukaryota; Metazoa; Chordata; Mammalia; Primates; Hominidae
Description: HSALNT0336581
Source: RNAcentral